This 254-nucleotide ribosomal RNA is filed under the name uncultured bacterium. Its description in RNAcentral is "partial 16S ribosomal RNA". It matches the Rfam family "Bacterial small subunit ribosomal RNA", at positions 524 to 777 of the family's 1533-position model. The record is from RNAcentral.
UACAGAGACUGCAAGCGUUAUUCGGAUUCACUGGGCGUAAAGGGUGCGCAGGCGGCCAAGUGUGUGAGGCGUGAAAGCCCGGGGCUUAACCCCGGAAUUGCACCUCAAACUACAUGGCUAGAGCAUUGGAGAGGGUAGCGGAAUUCACGGUGUAGCAGUGAAAUGCGUAGAUAUCGUGAGGAACACCAGAGGCGAAGGCGGCUACCUGGACAAUUGCUGACGCUCAGGCACGAAAGCGUGGGGAGCAAAAGGGG